AACGAACGCUGGCGGCAUGCCUAACACAUGCAAGUCGAACGAAUCUGAUGGGAGCUUGCUCCCUGAAGAUUAGCGGCGGACGGGUGAGUAACACGUGGGUAACCUGCCUGUAAGACUGGGAUAACUCCGGGAAACCGGGGCUAAUACCGCAUAAGACCACAGAGCCGCAUGGCUCGGGGGUCAAAGGAGAAAUCCGCUGAAGGAUGGCCUCGCGUCCGAUUAGCUAGUUGGCGGGGUAACGGCCCACCAAGGCGACGAUCGGUAGCCGGACUGAGAGGUUGAACGGCCACAUUGGGACUGAGAUACGGCCCAG
This 313-nucleotide ribosomal RNA is filed under the name uncultured bacterium. RNAcentral's name for it is "bacterial SSU rRNA". It matches the Rfam family "Bacterial small subunit ribosomal RNA", at positions 29 to 334 of the family's 1533-position model. The record is from RNAcentral.